CACCAGUGAAAUGAGGAGCACUAUCUCCCUACCAGCACAUCUCCACUGAGAGAGAGAGAGAGAGAGAGAGAGAGAGAGAGAAUAAAGGAAGGAGAAAUAAGGAACAGGUGGCGCCAUAGAACGAGGCAAGUGAAAAGAUUGACAAAAAGAGUGUGAUCCUUUGUGUACAGCUGCAACCUCAACCCCAGCGUUGUCAUAACUGUGAACCUCAGUAAGGACAGCCCAACCAUGGAUCAGAAAAUCAAUGAUUGCCCCACCACCACCUCCUCCCAGAAACAGAUGAAGAGCAGGUCCAAAUCCACCGAUGAGAUCCAGCACACCAAAAGGCUUUCAUCACAGAAAUCCCUUCCCGGUGGGCCGGAUCUGGACAAAGUCAAGGAGGGCCCAGAAGGUUCCGAGACGCUCUCGUCCUCCACAGAGGAGCUGAAGUGAUGACGGCUGGGGUCCCUCAGGGAAAUAAGGCCAUGAACCUUCCACCUGCUCAUUAAACAUGAACACAUACACACACAUAGACUCACAUACACACACAGUCACAUACCUACACACACUUACACAUUUGUUUAAAUGCAAAAACUGAACUGAUAAACUGAUUUGGUGGAAAGUAAUGUGAUCAGUUAGACAGAAACACACACGCACACACACACACACACCAACAAGAUCUCAUGGUUUUACCAAUUUGACUUCAGAUUCUGACAUUUAUCCACGUUUCUCAAAACAUCAAAUUUCGACGUUGCUCCAAACGUCAACUUUCGAAGUGUUUUUGACACCAUGGGUUGACUCCUGUUCAGUAUCGUUCAGUUUCUCCAAACAUCAAAUUUAAGGUAAGGGUUAGGGUUACAAUAUUACGUUUAGGCAUUCAUUUUCAAUGGUUAAGUUAAGGGUUAGGGUUUGGGAUAGGGUUAAAACAAAAAAUUAAAAAUCUGUCUCUACCACUGGGAUUUAACGUGACCUUCGGAUUCAGAGUAAUGGGAUUAUGUCCAUCCACCACCCCGGUCCACACCGCCCUAGCAAAACCCAAGCCUACUUGAUAGUAAUUGCGCACUGUUGCCCCUAGUGGUCAGUUUUGAAGGCAUUUCCCGACGUCCUCAAAUUUUGAAAUCAAUCUUGAGCGAUCUGCCUACACACACACACAGACACACAGACACACAGACACACACAUAAUGACAAUCACACAAGAAAGGGGCUGUGAUGAUGCUGUAUCAUUGUACUGUGAGUUUUCAUACCAAACUGAAUGUGCAUGCUUCACAAUAAAGCAAUGCUGUUGAGUGGA
This is a long non-coding RNA of Coregonus clupeaformis (lake whitefish), 1270 nucleotides long. RefSeq lists it as uncharacterized. NCBI's taxonomy places the organism in Eukaryota, Metazoa, Chordata, Actinopteri, Salmoniformes, Salmonidae. The transcript is spliced from 6 exons. The record is from RefSeq and is a predicted model, not a curated record.